Molecule: transfer RNA, 76 nt
Filed under: bacterium
Lineage: Bacteria
Also listed under: 3 other names
Description: tRNA-Arg
Rfam family: tRNA
About the family: Transfer RNA (tRNA) molecules are approximately 80 nucleotides in length. Their secondary structure includes four short double-helical elements and three loops (D, anti-codon, and T loops).
Source: RNAcentral
GCUCCCAUAGUUUAACUGGAUAAAAUAGGGGUUUCCUAAACCCUAGCUCCGUGUUCGAGUCACGGUGGGAGCACCA